AAAUUUUAAUUUAUUAAGACAGCUGUUUAAUUUCAGAAAAUACAACUCUCUGCAUCACAAAAAUAUAGCAUUUUCAAGUGAAUACGCAAGCUGGAUAAAAAUCAGUUACAAAGCCUUGAAAAAGACACUAGAGCAAGACACCAGAGACAGAAGUCCAUACAUCUAGAUGACAGGUUAUGAAUCUGUGAGGCCAGGUAGCUUGUGAUCAUGACACACUUGGUCUAUAUUCCAUGUUUGAAUGUGAUUUUGUGCCCGUGUAAAAGGCAUUUAGCUAAAUACAGUGCUGAUUCUGUAUACUAGGACAUACAAGCAACAAUGACUUCAGCUCAUAAUUCUGCAACGAUAAAAUUAAAACCAUGAUACUGGAUGCACUUAAUAUAAGGUAAUAUAAUGUAAGGUAACCAUAUAUCACAUUAUAUAGCUUUUUGAGUUAAGGUUAGGUUUAGGGGCUGUUCACACAGACCAGGCUUUUGCUUUUAAAAACUACAGGUGCUGCGCAAAAACAUCCAGAUACAGAGGUGCAGCACUGAUAAAUGGAAAAAUCAGAAAAAGGUUUACCAUUUUCAACUUGCACAAGACAAGACACUGAACAGUAGCUAGACAUGAAAUAUAAAUAAACAGUGCAAUGGAACACAAACUUGUUCUGUGUGAACUAGCCCUUAAGCCCAGAGUAUACUUCGUUAUAUUGCAAGUAUAUUAUGUUUGCAGCCAAAAUGAGGACAUUUUCAACCGUGUUACCUGAUUUGCUGCUGUGUUUAAGAGAGGGGUCAGGUAAGGGGCAUCAUUUUCAUUGCAUUAUUUAGAAACACCCACCAGUUUGAAAAUGUUCAAAUUCAUUUUGCAGAGAUCUCACACAACUCUGUGCAUCUGAAAUAGCUGCAAUAGGCAUUACAUUUGAAUUGGAAUUUACUUUGCAACAUUUAAAAAAAAA
Long non-coding RNA from Sinocyclocheilus grahami, 931 nucleotides. RefSeq lists it as uncharacterized. NCBI's taxonomy places the organism in Eukaryota, Metazoa, Chordata, Actinopteri, Cypriniformes, Cyprinidae. The record is from RefSeq and is a predicted model, not a curated record. The transcript is spliced from 2 exons.